CUCACUCACCCUACCUAUUAUUCCUCUUCCAUCUCUGGAACAAGGACUCGGUCAGAGAGGUUUAAGUUUUUGGUAAAUUUGGUGCCUAAGAUUACGAUGUAUAACUGUUCUACGUGUUACAUCCUCUCUCUCUCUCUCUCACUGACACAUCUUAAGCACCAACCAAUUCCUCUCUCAUUUAUUACUUAUAAACACACUCUCUGUCUCUCUCUCUCCCUUCCCUACUUCACCACUCUCUCUAUAUAUACACCACUAAACACUUUCUUCCUUCUCAGUUAUCUACUCUCUCUUCAACCUAGCUUUCUUCCGGUUCUGAUUUGAGAGUUUCUUGCUUUGUCUCUUCAUUUUUUCUCUCUCCUUGCUUAAUUUCUUCUUAACCCUUCAACAGUUUCUGUUUGCUUUCUAUGCGUUAAUAUCUAUAGGUGGUGGUACUUUGAUUGCUUUUCUUUUGUAUAGAGACAUAUCAGUGAAUAAUACUACCAAGUGGGUCUUGUGUCUGUUUUCAUGGCCUACAUAUACACAUGGGAUUGAGGAGCCUUUUAUGCCUUACAUUACUACUGUCCCUCUUUUCUUGCCUUUACUUUUAUGCCUUGUAUGUUGGAUUAGAUUACAUUUAGGGUUAGGGUUAGGGCUGUUCUAUUCUUCUUCUUCAACUCUCCUCCUUUUCUACUUCCUGAUAUGAUAUCCUUCAUUUUCGGCUCCUCCUUUUGUUUUUUUGAAGCUUUUCUUUUGCAUGGACUAGUGAUCUUGGUGGUGGUCACGCAGAGAGAGAAUCUUAUAAAGUCCUAAUUAGACUAAAGAAAACCAGUCACUGUUUGCCGGUGGAGCAUCAUCAAGAUUCACAAGCUUUAGGUGGCAUUAAUUUGUUUGAGGUGGUCCCUUAUUGCUCCAAACCAAUUACCCCUUUGCUAUGAGAAUCUUGAUGAUGCUGCAGCAGCAAUUAAUGACUAAUAUAUAUACUGCCAGCUUUGCCUUGAGGAUCUGAUCACACUACUACACAACUAUGCUACAAGGCUUGGAGCAAAAGAGGUCCCUUUGGAAAAUUUCAAUCAAGUGCAGCUGAACGACGCUUUGAAUGAGACAUGAAGGAUAAUGAUGCUAUUGGCCUGUCUGUACUGCAGAACCCCUUCACACCUGCAAAGCUCAGUAGGUAUGUCUGUACGUUGAUGGAACAUUGUGUACUACCAUGGAUCAUUCAAUGCUUUUACUUCAUGGACACUUGGGUAACACUGUUUAUCUUUUCUACUCUUCUGUUACACAUAUAUAAAGCAUUUUGAUUAAUCUCUAAUGUUCAUUUUAAUCAUGUUUAAUUAAUGCAUAAAUUAAUUUCAGUGCUCUUGUUGAUAUUGUCAAGGGAAAAUGUAGAAUGUAUAUGACUAUCUUUUGAUUAACCGGAUGGUGCUGCUUUUGCUUUCUUCGUAAAGUAGCAUAUAUCAGUUCUGCUUUUGGAUUUGACUCUUUUUCUUAUUGAUGACUAAAUGCUUCAGGAUUUUCUUGUUUUCUAGAACAGAAUCGUAUGUAAAUAAAUAUAUAUGUUUGCAAAAAGUUUAACACAUGUAUUAUUGGGGUAUAAAACAUAGGAUUGAGUUUGAGCUCUCUGGUUUGGGUCAUUGUCUGGUACUAUGACUUCACAUGGCUGGUCAAACUAGUUUGUUGUUGCGUUGAACAAUCUAAUUCUACCUAUUUAAUUUAUCUUUGGACUUAAGGUUAGCGAUACAUUGAUUUGCAACAUUAGCUUAAAUUCAAGUUUUGAAAACUGAAAGCUCUUUAAUUUCUACUCACUUUCUCUUGUGGUAUGGCUCUAUUUACAAGCAGUCUUAAGGUAUGUUAGAAUUCUGAGAUAUAUCUUUCAUAAUUAACAUGUCUGUGACCUAUGUUAUUAUGAAAAAUUAAGAUUAUUGCAAUGAAUUGAAGUUCCCUCUAAAAUGCAGAAAUAAUAUUAAACCAAUAGUAAUGAAACACAUUACAAUAAUUGUUACUUGUGUUUAUGUAAGCUAUUUGUAAGCAAUGAACAAAUUAAGGCUUAAAUCUACCUAUCAACUUGAACGAUGGUUUAGUUAUGUUUCUUCUUGACUUUGGACUUUAACAUCUUCCAUACAACUAUAUUUCAAUUUCUUUAUAUUUGUGAAGAACUAAUGAUUUAUAAGUUGCAGAGUUUCAGUAUUUUUUUAUAUGUUCAUCUAAUGACAGUUACUAAGAGUAGUUCAAUUGAUGUUCAUGCAUUAAUUUUAAUUUCAAUUAAAAGAUAGAGCACAAUAUAUUGUAAAUUACCUUUCUCUGGGAUUAUGUUUAUAGUCUUUCACUAAAGACGUGUACACACUUCCAUUAUGUGUACGGUCCCCUUAAUCGAAUGAAUGAUGUUGGAGUUGUACCAUGCAUAUGAUGCUAAAAAUGUGUUUUAGAUUUCUUUUGCUCUUCACUAAUCAUAUAUUUUUUAAGAGCACCAUUCAAUACUUUUGCCCAACAGGAAAAAAAAUUAUCAGGAAAAUUUCUUUGGAAACAAUAAUUCAUCAGCAACAUCGAAAAUAAAUAAGCAGAUCUCACUUGUCGUUUAACAUCAUAUUUUGUGAGUCUCUAGUACGUUGUUGUUCCGAAUUGUAUCAUCAAUCAUAUCUAGAAUGGAACAUAUGCAAAACCAGAUCCUAUGUCAGUGGUAGAACAUAUUCGGAAAAAGGAAAAUUAAAAAGCUGAAAGAAAGCAAAUUCAAACAACCUCUUUAAAACUUAUAUAUGCGAAAUUAGGAUUUAGAGGAUCCGUUUUCAAAAUAUCUUACAAAUGAUGACAGACUAUCGAAUCAAUAAACUAUGGAAUACAACAUUUACUUUCAUUUGAAGAUAGAGAUUUGAUACAACAUUGAUGUAUCUAUCGAUCUUCAUUCGAGCGAAACUGUCUUAAGAAAUAAUUAUUAUACAUAUAUACUUUUUUUUUUGUUUCGUCAAUCACUUGCUUUACACUUGCAUUGCAAUUAUUGUGAAUCUAAAUGCUUCAUCGAUUACAGCUAACAUGUUACUGAGAUCAACCGAAUUCAGAAUUGAAACGCAGAAAGAGAUAGCACAAUUUCUACCGAGAUUAAUUGUACCAUGUAAAUGGAUAAAUCUAUAUAUUAAUUAUGGUACGAUAUGA
This is a long non-coding RNA of Cajanus cajan (pigeon pea), 3123 nucleotides long. RefSeq lists it as uncharacterized. The record is from RefSeq and is a predicted model, not a curated record. Lineage: Eukaryota; Viridiplantae; Streptophyta; Magnoliopsida; Fabales; Fabaceae.